GAUGAACGCUGGCGGCGUGCCUAAUACAUGCAAGUCGAGCGAACAGACGAGGAGCUUGCUCCUUUGACGUUAGCGGCGGACGGGUGAGUAACACGUAGGUAACCUACCUAUAAGACUGGGAUAACUUCGGGAAACCGGAGCUAAUACCGGAUAAUAUUUCGAACCGCAUGGUUCGAUAGUGAAAGAUGGCUUUGCUAUCACUUAUAGAUGGACCUGCGCCGUAUUAGCUAGUUGGUAAGGUAACGGCUUACCAAGGCAACGAUACGUAGCCGACCUUAGAGGGUGAUCGGCCACACUGGAACUGAGACACGGUCCAGACUCCUACGGGAGGCAGCAGUAGGGAAUCUUCCGCAAUGGGCGAAAGCCUGACGGAGCAACGCCGCGUGAGUGAUGAAGGUCUUCGGAUCGUAAAACUCUGUUAUUAGGGAAGAACAAACGUGUAAGUAACUGUGCACGUCUUGACGGUACCUAAUCAGAAAGCCACGGCUAACUACGU
This 496-nucleotide ribosomal RNA is filed under the name uncultured bacterium. Its description in RNAcentral is "partial 16S ribosomal RNA". It matches the Rfam family "Bacterial small subunit ribosomal RNA", at positions 28 to 506 of the family's 1533-position model. The record is from RNAcentral.